UGGAAGCUUCUUCCAGAGGCUUAAAUUAGUUCAAAAUUUGGACCUAGGAAAUUCUCUCGCCGGAGGUUGAAGGCGGCAUCUCAAGAUUAAUAAUAAAUAAAAAUUGUUGUCUGCUGAAUUCUUCUAUUCGCACAUUGUUGAGAACUUCAAAAAACUGAAAACAAUGAAAUUGGGCAACAGCAAUGGUCUACUUUCAAGUGAGAUCCAUCCCAUCCCACUGGCUGUGUUGACAAACAAUUUUGUUAAAGCUGCAUUUUGGACAUCAGACCCACUUUACAAACCCAUAAGCUGGGUUUGCUUAUAAUGCCAAGUCUGAGAAAUACAUAUAUAAAGCAAAGACCUCAACUUCACUGAAUGAGAAAGCAAACACAACUGACUGACUUACAAAGUCAUUUUUGAGACUUUGGCUUGGAUCCAGUGGGUUAUUCCUGUGGGCAAAAGGGUCUUUUCCUAAAGAGCAUAACUUGAGCUGCACUCACUGGGAGGCAAAGUCUGUGGGCAAAAAUCACUGAAUCCCAGCCAAUGAUUCGUGCCAUUCCUCUUAGUUCCUUAAUUACCAUCUGUUUCAUUUUAUGAGCUAUUGCUUU
This is a long non-coding RNA of Sphaerodactylus townsendi, 587 nucleotides long. RefSeq lists it as uncharacterized. The record is from RefSeq and is a predicted model, not a curated record. Lineage: Eukaryota; Metazoa; Chordata; Lepidosauria; Squamata; Sphaerodactylidae. The transcript has 3 exons.